UGUUAAUAUUUUUAAAAAUGGUAAAACAGUAACUUUUUAUUUACCAAAUUAAAUUUAAAAAAAAACACAAAAAAAGGGAAAAAGCUGCAUCUGUCAUCCUCCUAUCCCUUCCCCAACCUAUCCAGUCCCACCAACCAAAAUCAGAACUUGAUAGUUCUAGUUUUUUCUUUCGUGCUGUAAUGAAAUCCUAAAAUCCCUAGCGGCAAACUUGCAGCUGAAGGAUUUCAACUUGAGAAACAAACCCCGGAGUUAUCCAUUCCAGGCUCUUCAUUUUGGUCCUCAUCUUUACAUACUGUAAGAUCCUCCGAUAAUACUCUAGAAAUUGAAGAUUUUGUUGCCUUUUCCAAUGAUUCAAAGGCCAUAGACAAUGACUUGGAGAUUGAGGACUCACGGUUAUCAAGGACUUUCAAAGAUGUCUAAGUUUUUGAAUUCAAAACUUGGAGCUUGGCUUUCAGCGCAUCUGCUUGCUUCUGGAGGUCCUGUUCGAGGGAAGAGAAAUGAUCGAAAAGUUCCUUCCACGAGCGUGCAGCUGGUCAUCAGAGAGGUUUGGCGCUGAAAAGUAUCGAAACUCGGCGGAGGUGAAAAUGCGCAGUGAUCGGGCAGCGAACCUAAAAGAGGAAAUUUGAGUUUGUUAUUGCACAAUUUGAGAAAAUGAAAACAAUUUGUGGUGCUUUUGGUUGGGAGCAUGAGGAAGAAGAAGAUACAGCUUUUCACCUUUUUUCUUUUCUUUUUAGUUUUUUAAAUUUAAUUAAUGUAAUUAUUUAAUUUGGUAAAUAAAAAAUUACUAUUUUACCUUUAUAAAAAUAUUAACA
Molecule: long non-coding RNA, 812 nt
Filed under: Olea europaea subsp. europaea
Lineage: Eukaryota; Viridiplantae; Streptophyta; Magnoliopsida; Lamiales; Oleaceae
Source: RNAcentral